ACCACUAUCAUUCUAACCGCACA
RNAcentral lists this microRNA (23 nucleotides) under Ananas comosus (pineapple). Its description in RNAcentral is "microRNA s0776_c100a". Lineage: Eukaryota; Viridiplantae; Streptophyta; Magnoliopsida; Poales; Bromeliaceae. The record is from RNAcentral.